This 503-nucleotide ribosomal RNA is filed under the name uncultured bacterium. RNAcentral describes it as "partial 16S ribosomal RNA". It matches the Rfam family "Bacterial small subunit ribosomal RNA", at positions 30 to 523 of the family's 1533-position model. The record is from RNAcentral.
AUUGAACGCUGGCGGCAGGCUUAACACAUGCAAGUCGAGCGGGGUGAUGGUGCUUGCACUAUCACUUAGCGGCGGACGGGUGAGUAAUGCUUAGGAAUCUGCCUAUUAGUGGGGGACAACAUCUCGAAAGGGAUGCUAAUACCGCAUACGUCCUACGGGAGAAAGCAGGGGAUCACUUGUGACCUUGCGCUAAUAGAUGAGCCUAAGUCGGAUUAGCUAGUUGGUGGGGUAAAGGCCUACCAAGGCGACGAUCUGUAGCGGGUCUGAGAGGAUGAGCCGCCAAACUGGGACUGAGACACGGCCCAGACUCCUACGGGAGGCAGCAGUGGGGAAUAUGGGACAAUGGGGGGAACCCUGAUCCAGCCAUGCCGCGUGUGUGAAGAAGGCCUUAUGGUUGUAAAGCACUUUAAGCGAGGAGGAGGCUCUUUUGGUUAAUACCCAAGAUGAGUGGACGUUACUCGCAGAAUAAGCACCGGCUAACUCUGUGCCAGCCGCCGCCGUAA